Long non-coding RNA from Ictalurus punctatus (channel catfish), 1214 nucleotides. NCBI's taxonomy places the organism in Eukaryota, Metazoa, Chordata, Actinopteri, Siluriformes, Ictaluridae. The record is from Ensembl.
UAGAAACCUCUUUACGCCUAAAGCUGCAGCGAUGGAGGUCGAGGGGACCAUGAAGAGGUGGCUCCAGCUGGCAUCAGAUCAAGAGUGUGGGUGCAAGAGAAGUCUUUUGCAAAAAGAAGCUACCAGGAAUCCUGAAGAAGGACUAGCGCAUUGGAGCGGUCGUGCUGCACGUGGGGGCAAACAUCAGGCUGUGGCAGGCGGAGGUUCUGAAGAGGGACUUCUCCAGCCUGAUCGAGACGGUACGAGGCAGAUCACCCACCGCGAAGAUCAUCGUCUCUGGACCUCUUCCCUCAUACAGAGGUGGAGCUGAAAGGCUCAGUAGACUUCUUGCUUUGAAUGACUGGUUAGUUUCUUGGUGUAAUGAACAGAAUCUGCUGUUUGUUAAUAACUGGAAUCUGUUCUGGGAUCGGAACUGCUGUCAGACAACAUUUCCAAGACGCUACAGACCAAGUGACUGUCUACCCGUGCUUACUUGAAGACGAUGAGGCAGAGCAGCAUCGGAGAGACAGUUCGCUCCAUUCUCCAAAGAAUCGGGGAGAACAGUCUGUAAUGUAUGUUUUUGUUGAAAGUGUCAAAAGGUGGGAAGCUGGCUUUGACUUAUCAGGAUGAAGUGUAUCGCCUUGUACACUAUAUUGCCGAACAAGCACAUGGACGUGAAUAUACUGUGCCGGUUGCAGAGAGGCCAUCGGCAGCUACCUAAAAAAUGCCCCAGGCAGGAAAAGUGGCAAGAAACAUAUUAUGAGUGUUUAUGAUGAAGAGCUACGUGGGAUCUCCAGUGCGUCCUGCAAGAAUUGGGCCUGAGUCCAGUUCAGAUUCAAUUUUGUAAUCUCAUUCCUCUCCCUUGCGUGACAGCCUCCAAACAGUACAAUUCUAAUGAGCUUGAAUAUACGGGGAAUUCCAUUGGGUUUGAUGUCUGACUAAUUAAAGACCCACCUCUUCUAUGAACACCUAACCAACUCAUUUAAAAAAAAAAAAAAAAAAAAAAAAAAAAAAAUUGCACUUACACCUCUAGUCUGCACUUUGCUUCUUCUAGAAUUCAAUGAAUAGAUCUUGUACGGUAGCUGCUCUUGUAUUGUUCUCUGCUUGAUAUAUCGCUUUGCUUGUAUCUUUCUUAUUUGUAAGUCACUUUGGAUAAAAGCGUCUGCUAAGUGAAUGUAAUGUAAAUGUAAUAAAUUGUUUUCUUUGAUUAGCAAUACAUAGGUACUAUAUCUGGC